CCCUUAGAUGUUCUGGGCCGCACGCGCGCUACACUGAUACACCCAACGAGUCUCCUCCUCGACCGAAAGGUCCGGGUAAUCUUGUGAAAGUGUAUCGUGAUAGGGCUUGACGAUUGUAAUUAUUUGUCACAAACGAGGAAUUCCUAGUAAGCGCAAGUCGUCAACUUGCACUGAAUACGUCCCUGCCCUUUGUACACACCGCCCGUCGCUCCUACCGAUUGAGUGGUCCGGUGAGGCUUUGGGAUCUGAGCGGAAAGAGCGUUUCGCUGUUUCUGCCCGGAAAACUCAGUCGAACCAUAUCAUUUAGAGGAAGGAGAAGUCGUAACA
This 327-nucleotide ribosomal RNA is filed under the name uncultured eukaryote. RNAcentral describes it as "partial 18S ribosomal RNA". It matches the Rfam family "Eukaryotic small subunit ribosomal RNA", at positions 1470 to 1796 of the family's 1831-position model. The record is from RNAcentral.